RNAcentral lists this transfer RNA (71 nucleotides) under Cavia porcellus (domestic guinea pig). It matches the Rfam family "tRNA". From Rfam's summary of the family: Transfer RNA (tRNA) molecules are approximately 80 nucleotides in length. Lineage: Eukaryota; Metazoa; Chordata; Mammalia; Rodentia; Caviidae. The record is from Rfam by way of RNAcentral.
GGGGACGUAGGUCAGUGCACAGCACCUGCCUGGCAAGCACAAGGCCCUGAGUUUGAUUCCCAGUGUCUCCC